UUGCUUUAGGAAGCGGAAGACUAAUGACCGAAGCUUCAAGACUUUGACAUGUGUGAAAACAUGAAAUGACCCUUGGCUCUUAUUGUUCUUGCUGGUGUGGUAUGUUCACGGCUGAAAAGAUGGUCAGAAGGGGAAAGGAGGAAGUGAGAAGAAAGAAACAGGGAAAUGACAGAGUGUUGCUCAGUUACCCAGGCUGGAGUGCAAUGGCAUGAUCUUGGCUCACUGCAGCCUCCACCUCCUGGGUUCAAGCGGUUCUCGUGCCUCAGUCUCCCAAGUAGCUGGGAUUACAGACGAAAUCUUGCUCUGUUGCCCAGGCUGGAGUGCGAUGGCAUGAUCUUGGCUCACGGCAAACUCCGCCUCCCUGGUUCAAGUGAUUCUCCUGCCUCAGCCUCCCGAGUAGCCGGGAUUACAGGCAUGUGCCACCAUGCCCCGUUGGCCAGGCUGGUCUCGAACACCUUACCUCAGGUGAUCCUCCCACCUUUGGGAUUACAGCAGGCUGAGGAAUUACCAAGGAGGCAGGAGGUGGAGCAAAACACACCAAGCCUGGUGCCAAUCAUUGACAAUAUUAUGGAACUGACUCAGCGCAAGAAGACAGCUUCGACUCCUUGUGAUUUCAUCCCUAACCAAUCAGCACUCCUGGCUCACUGGCUUCCCCCAACCCACCAAAUUGUCCUUAAAAACUCUGCUCUCCAAACGCUGGGGGAGACUGAUUUGAGUAAUAAUAAAACCCUGGUCUCCUGCACA
Long non-coding RNA from Homo sapiens (human), 744 nucleotides. Ensembl annotates it as PCED1B antisense RNA 1. Its record names the gene PCED1B-AS1. Lineage: Eukaryota; Metazoa; Chordata; Mammalia; Primates; Hominidae. The record is from Ensembl.